This 816-nucleotide long non-coding RNA is filed under the name Vulpes vulpes (red fox). RNAcentral's name for it is "lncRNA (ENSVVUG00000018727.1)". Lineage: Eukaryota; Metazoa; Chordata; Mammalia; Carnivora; Canidae. The record is from RNAcentral.
GGGAAGUGUAGAUCUUCUCAGUGAAAUUAAUGAAGGAACUUUUUCCCCAAGACAGGGAAAGAAGCACCACAGGGAAGAAGCAACUAAUAAAAACAAAGGAAAUCAAAAACCCCAGGGAAAGGAAAAUAAUAGUUGCAAGUGGUAGAAACCAAAUCUGUUUUUAAGAAGAAAAGUUAUUAUGUGGUUCAUAACAUUUUGGAGCAUCGGCUUGACUUUGGAAUCUGACUUGACUGGAACUGCACCUGCUGCCCUCAUUGAUGCGAAACUUCAUUCGGGAAACUGACUUUCUGACCAGUUGACCUGCUAAAGCUUGGGUACCUUGAAGGCCAAAUGGUUCUGUGGCAGGUGUGGGGGGGGGGGGGGGGGGGGGGGGUGGUGGGGAGCUUUGUAUACAUCUUUCUCAGAUCUAAAUCAAAAUCUCUCUGAAAUGAGUCUCAUCAGUGUAGCUCAGGGAACACACCUGUGCCCUAAUAACAAAAGGGACUGGGGUGGCAAAUUUUCUUGGUCCUAUUUUAGCAAAGAGGGAUACAUAAGGGUGAAGAUUUCCUGAGGAGUCAAAAAGAGAUCAAAGAUGCUGGGCUGGCAGCUAACAUGACACAUGUUCACUACUUAUUCACUGAUUUUGUAACUCUGGGUUAGGUGCCCCCAAUGCAUUAUACUUUCCAUCCUGGCAUCUUACCUCCACCUCCAUAUUGAAAUCAGCUUUUUAUUAUUUUAUAACUUUCCCCAGACUGCCUAUAAGAGAAAGGACUCAAUUUGUUGUCAGUUUCUUUUUAUUCACAAUUACAUUCCCAGUCCCUAGCUUAUAUUGUUGUG